This 70-nucleotide transfer RNA is filed under the name Lactobacillus gasseri. Its description in RNAcentral is "tRNA-OTHER". It matches the Rfam family "tRNA". From Rfam's summary of the family: Transfer RNA (tRNA) molecules are approximately 80 nucleotides in length. Lineage: Bacteria; Bacillati; Bacillota; Bacilli; Lactobacillales; Lactobacillaceae. RNAcentral also lists the same sequence under 2 other names. The record is from RNAcentral.
AGCAAUGUAGCUUAAAUGGUAGAGCGGGUCUGACAAAGGCUGCGGGGUGGUUCGAUUCCACACUUUGCUA